UCACAUCCUGGGGCUGAAGCCGGUCCCAAGGGUAUGGCUGUUCGCCAUUUAAAGUGGUACGCGAGCUGGGUUUAGAACGUCGUGAGACAGUUCGGUCCCUAUCUGCCGUGGACGUUUGAGAUUUGAGAGGGGCUGCUCCUAGUACGAGAGGACCGGAGUGGACGAACCUCUGGUGUUCCGGUUGUCACGCCAGUGGCAUUGCCGGGUAGCUAUGUUCGGAAAAGAUAACCGCUGAAAGCAUCUAAGCGGGAAACUUGCCUCAAGAUGAGAUCUCACUGGGAUCUUGAAUCCCCUAAAGGGCCGUCGAAGACUACGACGUUGAUAGGUUGGGUGUGUAAGCGCUGUGAGGCGUUGAGCUAACCAAUACUAAUUGCCCGUGAGGCUUGACCAUAUAACACCCAAGCAAUU
Molecule: ribosomal RNA, 408 nt
Rfam family: Bacterial large subunit ribosomal RNA